Molecule: microRNA precursor, 61 nt
Filed under: Ictidomys tridecemlineatus (thirteen-lined ground squirrel)
Lineage: Eukaryota; Metazoa; Chordata; Mammalia; Rodentia; Sciuridae
Description: miRNA (ENSSTOG00000031949.1)
Source: RNAcentral
CCUCCUCUCCCCCGACCUGAGGAGAGGCAGGGGCUGUGCCUGCGGCGGGGCAGGCCAGACC